RNAcentral lists this ribosomal RNA (458 nucleotides) under uncultured bacterium. Its description in RNAcentral is "partial 16S ribosomal RNA". It matches the Rfam family "Bacterial small subunit ribosomal RNA", at positions 338 to 795 of the family's 1533-position model. The record is from RNAcentral.
CCUACGGGUGGCAGCAGUGGGGAAUAUUGCACAAUGGGGGAAACCCUGAUGCAGCGACGCCGCGUGAGUGAAGAAGCGUUUCGGCGCGUAAAGCGCUGUCAGCGGGGAAGAAACACGGUUCGCGAGAGCCGCGGACGGUACCCGACCAAGAAGCCCCGGUCAACUACGUGCCAGCAGCCGCUGUAAGACGUAGGGGGCAAGCGUUAUCCGGCGUCACUGGGGGGAAAGGGAGCGUGGACGGCGAGACAAGUCUGGAGUGAAAGGCCGGGGCCCAACCCCGGGACGGCUCUGGAAACUGCCUGGCUGGAGUACAGGAGAGGUAAGUGGAAUUCCUAGUGUAGCGGUGAAAUGCGUAGAUAUUAGGAGGAACACCAGUGGCGAAGGCGGCUUACUGGACUGUAACUGACGUUGAGGCUCGAAAGCGUGGGGAGCAAACAGGAUUAGAUACCCGGGUAGUC